UGGGGAAUAUUGCACAAUGGGCGCAAGCCUGAUGCAGCCAUGCCGCGUGUGUGAAGAAGGCCUUCGGGUUGUAAAGCACUUUCAGCGAGGAGGAAGGGUGGUGUGUUAAUAGCACAUCACAUUGACGUUACUCGCAGAAGAAGCACCGGCUAACUCCGUGCCAGCAGCCGCGGUAAUACGGAGGGGGCAAGCGUUAAUCGGAAUUACUGGGCGUAAAGCGCACGCAGGCGGUGUGUUAAGUCAGAUGUGAAAUCCCCGCGCUUAACGUGGGAACUGCAUUUGAAACUGGCAAGCUAGAGUCUUGUAGAGGGGGGUAGAAUUCCAGGUGUAGCGGUGAAAUGCGUAGAGAUCUGGAGGAAUACCGGUGGCGAAGGCGGCCCCCUGGACAAAGACUGACGCUCAGGUGCGAAAGCGUGGGGAGCAAACA
Molecule: ribosomal RNA, 427 nt
Filed under: uncultured bacterium
Lineage: Bacteria
Description: partial 16S ribosomal RNA
Rfam family: Bacterial small subunit ribosomal RNA
Source: RNAcentral